This 371-nucleotide ribosomal RNA is filed under the name uncultured bacterium. RNAcentral describes it as "bacterial SSU rRNA". It matches the Rfam family "Bacterial small subunit ribosomal RNA", at positions 527 to 896 of the family's 1533-position model. The record is from RNAcentral.
GUAGGUGGCAAGCGUUGUCCGGAUUUACUGGGCGUAAAGGGCGUGCAGGCGGUUUGUUAAGUGCAGGGUGAAAGCUCCCGGCUCAACUGGGAGAGGUCCUUGCAUACUGGCAAACUCGAGGGAGGCAGAGGAAAGUGGAAUUCCCGGUGUAGUGGUGAUAUGCGUAGAUAUCGGGAGGAACACCUGUGGCGAAGGCGGCUUUCUGGGCCUUACCUGACGCUGAGACGCGAAAGCGUGGGGAGCGAACCGGAUUAGAUACCCGGGUAGUCCACGCCGUAAACUAUGGACACUAGGUGUGGGGGGUAUCGACCCCCUCCGUGCCGAAGCUAACGCAAUAAGUGUCCCGCCUGGGGAGUACGGCCGCAAGGCUA